CCUACGGGCGACAGCAGUGGGGAAUAUUGCACAAUGGGGGAAACCCUGAUGCAGCGACGCCGCGUGAGUGAAGAAGUAUUUCGGUACGUCAAGCUCUAUCAGCAGGGAAGAAAAUGACGGUACCUGACUAGUACGCACUGGCUAACUACGUGCCAGGAGCCGCGGUGAUACGUAGGGGGCAAGCGUUAGCCGGAUUUACUGGGUGUAAAGGGAGCGUAGAUGGCAGCGCAAGUCUGGAGUGAAAUCCCAUGGCUUAACCAUGGAACUGCGUUGGAAACUGUGUAGCUAGAGUGCAGUAGAGGAAAGCGGAAUUCCAAGUGUAGCGGUGAAAUGCGUAGAUAUUUGGAGGAACACCAGUGGCGAAGGCGGCUCUCUGGCUUGUAACUGACGCUGAGGCUCGAAAGCGUGGGGAGCAAACAGGAUUAGAUACCCGAGUAGUC
This 440-nucleotide ribosomal RNA is filed under the name uncultured bacterium. Its description in RNAcentral is "partial 16S ribosomal RNA". It matches the Rfam family "Bacterial small subunit ribosomal RNA", at positions 338 to 795 of the family's 1533-position model. The record is from RNAcentral.